This is a long non-coding RNA of Notolabrus celidotus (New Zealand spotty), 455 nucleotides long. RefSeq lists it as uncharacterized. The record is from RefSeq and is a predicted model, not a curated record. The transcript is spliced from 2 exons. NCBI's taxonomy places the organism in Eukaryota, Metazoa, Chordata, Actinopteri, Labriformes, Labridae.
GGCACCGAACAGGAGAGACAACAUGUGAUGCUCAACGCCCUCAGGGUUUAAAAAAAGAUGUAUUUAAAGAAUCCGAGAAGAACACAGGCCUCUCAGGCAAAGGGGGAUGUAUCGCCCACUAUGUACAGGCGAGGCUGGGGACUCAUGAGGACAGAUGUGGAGCACACGGGGGCAAGGCUCGUGUCCCUCAGCGGUCCCACACACCCAGAUGGUAUUAAUCUCUAAUAACUUCCCCAACAAAGCACCUCCAGGCAUCGGUGGGAGAAAUGCUCGGGGUAGAUGAUGCGUUUUAGCAGCGCUAAGUAUGAAUCAGGAUAUUAAAAAAUUGUGGGAGGGCAAAAGCAAUUUCCCCCUGAAGGGAUUUUAAAAUUACAGCUCUCAGGCUGGAGGGAAGUUUCACCGUACAAUCAGUUUCUUGUCCUCACCUUUCACAAUAAAACGCCCUUUCUCUCCCA